Molecule: long non-coding RNA, 103 nt
Organism: Etheostoma cragini (Arkansas darter)
Lineage: Eukaryota; Metazoa; Chordata; Actinopteri; Perciformes; Percidae
Exons: 3
Source: RefSeq, a predicted model, not a curated record
GUGUUUGUAUUUAGCUAGUGCUUCCACUUAAGCGUGGUGCUUGAAGAGCACUUCAACUUCUACUCAAGUCACUUUUUUGAUAGAGCAAUUUUACAUUUGCUCA